RNAcentral lists this long non-coding RNA (636 nucleotides) under Manacus vitellinus (golden-collared manakin). RNAcentral describes it as "lncRNA (ENSMVIG00005002516.1)". Lineage: Eukaryota; Metazoa; Chordata; Aves; Passeriformes; Pipridae. The record is from RNAcentral.
UUGCAGUUUAGCAAUCUUCAACCCUGAAAUGGAUUAUGUUGCAGAUAUUCCCCAGAUGAGAAGUCCUGAAAGCCAGGACUCCAUAGAAGCAGGCUGAAUGAGUUAGAACGGAAGCAGCCAAGCCACUCUAACAAGUUAGCUUCUCACCAUUCAUUCUGGGAUGUGAUGAGAAAAGAAGGAAAUGAGAAAUGGAAAUUCCGGCACUGAAAGGCAAGCUCAGAGCAGACUGAGAGGGAACUAUCUCUACAUCCUGACUAUUGAAGGAAGAAGAAAUUACUUAGAUCUAUUUCUGCUUACUCUAAUGAAGCACACUUGGUCUUAGCAGAGAUAUACUAGCACAAAUAACAAUUAAAGCCAGAAUAAGUAAUUUUGGCAGAAAUUAAGCUAUUAAAAGAGUUCCUUGUGAACAGGGCAUGUUAUGAUACAUUCACUCUAGAGAUUUUUCAAAAACAGAGUUAGACAAAGAAUUAAUUUGACCAAGAACAAGAAACUUGACCAUGCCAAGAGGACUGGCAUUUGCUAUGUCAAUACAUACAUCAGUCAUCAGUAUAGGAACAGCAAACAACUUCAAAUGCAGCUGGACUUCAUAAUCCCUUGAAAAAUAAACUGAUAUGAGCUCAUCUUUAUGGGUAAAGC